GUGUCAGCAGCCGCGGUAAGACGUAGGGCGCGAGCGUUGUCCGGAUUUAUUGGGCGUAAAGAGCUCGUAGGCGGCUUGUUGCGUCAGCUGUGAAAGCCCAUGGCUUAACUGUGGGUUGGCAGCUGAUACGGGCAGGCUAGAGUUCGGUAGGGGAGACUGGAAUUCCUGGUGUAGCGGUGAAAUGCGCAGAUAUCAGGAGGAACACCGGUGGCGAAGGCGGGUCUCUGGGCCGAUACUGACGCUGAGGAGCGAAAGCGUGGGGAGCGAACAGGAUUAGAUACCCUGGUAGUCCACGCUGUAAACGUUGGGCGCUAGGUGUGGGGGGCCUCUCCGGUUUCCUGUGCCGUAGCUAACGCAUUAAGCGCCCCGCCUGGGGAGUACGGCCGCAAGGCUAAAACUUAAAUGAAUUGGCGGGG
RNAcentral lists this ribosomal RNA (416 nucleotides) under uncultured prokaryote. Its description in RNAcentral is "bacterial SSU rRNA". It matches the Rfam family "Bacterial small subunit ribosomal RNA", at positions 505 to 918 of the family's 1533-position model. The record is from RNAcentral.